This 227-nucleotide unclassified non-coding RNA is filed under the name Hevea brasiliensis (rubber tree). Lineage: Eukaryota; Viridiplantae; Streptophyta; Magnoliopsida; Malpighiales; Euphorbiaceae. The record is from RNAcentral.
GGAAGGUGGUGCAAAUUAGACAGACAGCUUUUGCAGCUAUUUUUAAUAUGCUGGGUAAUGUUUGGUAUCAAGAGAUGUUGCAAGCUUCGAGCAUGAGAGCGUGGAAGGGGAAAUUGGUGGGCCUUUAAGGGAAAUGGUGGAGGUGUGUACAACCCCCAACAUAGAGGAUCUCUUCCCAAUAUUGGCUAGACUUGACCUACAGGGUCUACAAAAAAAGAGCAGCGAGU